RNAcentral lists this ribosomal RNA (2931 nucleotides) under Proteus hauseri. RNAcentral describes it as "23S ribosomal RNA". It matches the Rfam family "Bacterial large subunit ribosomal RNA". Lineage: Bacteria; Pseudomonadati; Pseudomonadota; Gammaproteobacteria; Enterobacterales; Morganellaceae. The record is from RNAcentral.
GGGUUGUGAGGUUAAGCGAAUAAGCGUACACGGUGGAUGCCUAGGCAAUCAGAGGCGAUGAAGGACGUGCUAAUCUGCGAUAAGCGUCGGUAAGGUGAUAUGAACCGUUAUAACCGACGAUUUCCGAAUGGGGAAACCCAAUAUCCAAUGGAUAUUAUCAUUACGUGAAUACAUAGCGUAAUGAAGCGAACCGGGAGAACUGAAACAUCUCAGUACCCCGAGGAAAAGAAAUCAACCGAGAUUCCCCUAGUAGCGGCGAGCGAACGGGGAACAGCCCAGAGUCUUAAUCAAUAGCAGCAUCAGGAGAACGGUCUGGAAAGUCCGGCAGUAAAGGGUGAUAGCCCCGUAUCUGAAGAUGUUGUUAUUGUGAACUCGACGAGUAGGGCGGGACACGUGUUAUCCUGUCUGAAUAUGGGGGGACCAUCCUCCAAGGCUAAAUACUCCUGAUUGACCGAUAGUGAACCAGUACCGUGAGGGAAAGGCGAAAAGAACCCCGGCGAGGGGAGUGAAAAAGAACCUGAAACCGUGUACGUACAAGCAGUAGGAGCCUCUUUUAUGGGGUGACUGCGUACCUUUUGUAUAAUGGGUCAGCGACUUAUAUUCUGUAGCAAGGUUAACCGUAUAGGGGAGCCGUAGGGAAACCGAGUCUUAACUGGGCGAAUGAGUUGCAGGGUAUAGACCCGAAACCCGGUGAUCUAUCCAUGGGCAGGUUGAAGGUUGGGUAACACUAACUGGAGGACCGAACCGACUAAUGUUGAAAAAUUAGCGGAUGACUUGUGGAUGGGGGUGAAAGGCCAAUCAAACCGGGAGAUAGCUGGUUCUCCCCGAAAGCUAUUUAGGUAGCGCCUCGUGAACUCAUCUUCGGGGGUAGAGCACUGUUUCGACUAGGGGGUCAUCCCGACUUACCAACUCGAUGCAAACUGCGAAUACCGAAGAAUGUUAUCACGGGAGACACACGGCGGGUGCUAACGUCCGUCGUGAAGAGGGAAACAACCCAGACCGCCAGCUAAGGUCCCAAAGUCAUGGUUAAGUGGGAAACGAAGUGGGAAGGCUCAGACAGCCAGGAUGUUGGCUUAGAAGCAGCCAUCAUUUAAAGAAAGCGUAAUAGCUCACUGGUCGAGUCGGCCCGCGCGGAAGAUGUAACGGGGCUAAACCAUGCACCGAAGCUGCGGCAGCGACACUUAGGUGUUGUUGGGUAGGGGAGCGUUCUGUAAGCCUGCGAAGGUGUGCUGUGAGGCAUGCUGGAGGUAUCAGAAGUGCGAAUGCUGACAUAAGUAACGAUAAUGCGGGUGAAAAACCCGCACGCCGGAAGACCAAGGGUUCCUGUCCAACGUUAAUCGGGGCAGGGUGAGUCGACCCCUAAGGCGAGGCUGAAAAGCGUAGUCGAUGGGAAACGGGUUAAUAUUCCCGUACUGGUGGUAACUGCGAUGGGGGAACGGAGAAGGCUAGGUUGUCCGGGCGACGGUCGUCCCGGUUCAAGCAUGUAGGCAGAGUGAUUAGGCAAAUCCGGUCACUUAAUGCUGAGGUGUGAUGACGAACCACUAAGGUGGUGAAGCAAUUGAUGCCCUGCUUCCAGGAAAAGCCUCUAAGCUUCAGGUUACCAACAAUCGUACCCCAAACCGACACAGGUGGUCAGGUAGAGAAUACUCAGGCGCUUGAGAGAACUCGGGUGAAGGAACUAGGCAAAAUGGUGCCGUAACUUCGGGAGAAGGCACGCUGGCGGUAAGUGAAGUCCCUGCGGACGGAGCCGAAGCCAGUCGAAGAUACCAGCUGGCUGCAACUGUUUAUUAAAAACACAGCACUGUGCAAACACGAAAGUGGACGUAUACGGUGUGACGCCUGCCCGGUGCUGGAAGGUUAAUUGAUGGGGUUAUCCUUAGGGAGAAGCUCUUGAUCGAAGCCCCAGUAAACGGCGGCCGUAACUAUAACGGUCCUAAGGUAGCGAAAUUCCUUGUCGGGUAAGUUCCGACCUGCACGAAUGGCGUAAUGAUGGCCAGGCUGUCUCCACCCGAGACUCAGUGAAAUUGAACUCGCUGUGAAGAUGCAGUGUACCCGCGGCAAGACGGAAAGACCCCGUGAACCUUUACUAUAGCUUGACACUGAACAUUGAGCCUUGAUGUGUAGGAUAGGUGGGAGACUUUGAAGUGUGGACGCCAGUCUGCAUGGAGUCAACCUUGAAAUACCACCCUUUAACGUUUGAUGUUCUAACCUAGGUCCAUAAUCUGGAUCGGGGACCGUGUCUGGUGGGUAGUUUGACUGGGGCGGUCUCCUCCUAAAGAGUAACGGAGGAGCACGAAGGUUGGCUAAGCAUGGUCGGACAUCAUGCGGUUAGUGCAAAGGCAUAAGCCAGCUUGACUGUGAGAGUGACGGCUCGAGCAGGUACGAAAGUAGGUCUUAGUGAUCCGGUGGUUCUGAAUGGAAGGGCCAUCGCUCAACGGAUAAAAGGUACUCCGGGGAUAACAGGCUGAUACCGCCCAAGAGUUCAUAUCGACGGCGGUGUUUGGCACCUCGAUGUCGGCUCAUCACAUCCUGGGGCUGAAGUAGGUCCCAAGGGUAUGGCUGUUCGCCAUUUAAAGUGGUACGCGAGCUGGGUUUAGAACGUCGUGAGACAGUUCGGUCCCUAUCUGCCGUGGGCGUUGGAAGAUUGAGAGGGGUUGCUCCUAGUACGAGAGGACCGGAGUGAACGCACCACUGGUGUUCGGGUUGUCAUGCCAAUGGCAUUGCCCGGUAGCUAAGUGCGGAAGAGAUAACCGCUGAAAGCAUCUAAGCGGGAAACUUGCCUCGAGAUGAGUCUUCCCUGUCACCUUGAGUGACCUAAAGGAACGUUUAAGACUAAGACGUUGAUAGGCUGGGUGUGUAAGCGUAGCGAUACGUUGAGCUAACCAGUACUAAUGAACCGUGAGGCUUAACCUGACAACACCGAAGGUGUUU